RNAcentral lists this ribosomal RNA (555 nucleotides) under Triticum aestivum (bread wheat). RNAcentral's name for it is "partial small subunit ribosomal RNA". The record is from RNAcentral. Lineage: Eukaryota; Viridiplantae; Streptophyta; Magnoliopsida; Poales; Poaceae.
AUGGAUUGGAGAACAUCUCGCGAGACGAGGGCGUCACAAUCGGAGCCAAAGACCAUCCAACGGUGGGAACCCCCCGAAGAUGGAUGGGUAAAGAUCAACUCCGACGGCGCGGUCUCGAGGCAUGGUGACAAAGGUGGAGGGGGUGCAGUCCUUCGUGACCACAACGCGGCGUUCAUAGCCGGGUCAUGUCACUUUUUCCCUAAUGUCACCGAUCCGGAGAUGGCAGAAGUUCUGGCUUGCAAAACUGCUGUUCGCUUAGCUAUGGAUCACAACAUCCGGAGAGCUCAUGUGGAGGUAGAUUGCCUGGCGCUAGUGCAAAAGCUAAACAACCAGGAGAGGGACCUUUCUGCGGUCGGCCCUUGGGUGCAAGAGAUCAAGACGUUGCUAAGGUCCAUGGAGGAGGCCAAGGACACGUGGAUUAGACGUUCGGGAAAUGUUGCCGCUCACAAUCUUGCUCGAGUAGGUGUAGGUGAGAACCGUUCGGAAGUGUGGGUGGGUUCGCCACCAGACUUUAUUUUGCAUGUAAUUUCAGAUGACAUUCCUAGUUUUGGUUAA